RNAcentral lists this unclassified non-coding RNA (306 nucleotides) under plant metagenome. RNAcentral describes it as "partial contains 5.8S ribosomal RNA, internal transcribed spacer 2, and large subunit ribosomal RNA". The stretch from base 1 to 105 matches the Rfam family "5.8S ribosomal RNA", at positions 50 to 154 of the family's 154-position model. The record is from RNAcentral.
GAAAUGCGAUAAGUAAUGUGAAUUGCAGAAUUCAGUGAAUCAUCGAAUCUUUGAACGCACAUUGCGCCCGCCAGUAUUCUGGCGGGCAUGCCUGUCCGAGCGUCAUUUCAACCAUCAAGCCCCCGGGUUUGUGUUGGGGACCUGCGGCUGCCCGCAGGCCCUGAAAACCAGUGGCGGGCUCGCUGUCACACCGAGCGUAGUAGCAAUCACCUCGCUCAGGGCGUGCUGCGGGUUCCGGCCGUUAAACAGCCUUACAAAACCCAAGGUUGACCUCGGAUCAGGUAGGAAGACCCGCUGAACUUAAGC